GAGAGGCGUGUGUAUACCAGUGCGCCUGCAUUCGCUUUCGCGGCUUUUCAGAGUGCAAUUUUUCUCCGAGUUUUACCGCUUUUCCCGAAGGGGUUGAAUAGCUGCCUUGGUUAGUGGCGAGGCUCGGCACAGUCAGUGGCUGUGCAGGGUGACGGUGUUUCAGUCUUACUUAGCCCUCAGUCUGGAUCAUGUGGCAACGCGCGGGUGCAUCUGCAGCUAUCAGAGGACAUCAUCAUCCAGAACUGGCUGGUAGCCCUUUAAAAGCAACAACUAGGUGGCUGUUCUCCGUUUGACAACUGUUUCUGUGAAUGAACCCUGUUACGUUUUUGAUUAGGAUGGGUAUGAAGCAGGGAAUAAGCAGACAUUGGGGAGCCUUUUCUUCUCCUUUCAGGACCUCAUUCAGACCAGGUCUGAACAUCCAGGGAUCUAUAUCCUGCAGAAUCCUGCUUCUUCCAAGAGUUCAUGGACCUUCUGAUGUCCAAUGGGGCCUGUCCCUCAAAGGCUGAAUUUAUCAUCUAUUGAAUUUCAGGGGUUUCAGGAUCAAAAGGAAUGAAAACCCAGAAUGCCUCACAAUUCAUUUCAUAGAAAUAGUCCAGGCUUUCAUCUGGUUCAUGUAGCACCUCAGUGAUCUUUGCCAUGUUAACAGGCUUCUUAGCCCUGUCUUUUACCCCCUGUUGGAGGGAGGGCCGGUGGAUAUCUCUCCAACUGGUUUCUCCCCCCCGCCCCGCUCAGUACUGGGGUACCAGUGAGGCUCUUCCUCUGGGAAGUUCUCCAAAGUGCAGUUCUCCACAUCUAAUUGGGCCCCUGGGGCAUUGGCCUGGAGUCAUUUUCUAGCGUUUGUCAUGACUACUUGGCGUUCCUCUGUAUUGAAUAAGGUGAGGAGAUGCUGCAGGCAGUCUCCCCAGGUGGGACAGUGGGUCUGGAAGAUGGAUUCUAAGACACCAAUCACCUCUUGGGGCAUUUCAGAACUUGAGAGGGUGUGUUGUUUCCAGUUAAGGAGAUCAGUCAUGGAAAAAGGCUGGUAGUAAAACAUGGGUCAGCACAGCAGAAACUGUGAGCUUGUUUAUGUCUCUUGAUGUAAUUGUAGAUUUCUGGAACCAGUGUCCGGAGCUGUCAUUGGCCAUCCUUUCCUCCUUCCUGUUUUGGACCGGGGCGCCACAGAGAUACAUUGACCUGUCUCCCCGAGCCUGUAGAUGCCUCGUGCCUCCUCUUCUUGUUCCUCCAAGUCUCAUGUUCUGUCACCUUCAUCUCUGCGUCUGAUGUGGGCCAGACACAUGCACACACACAGAAACACAUGCAAACCAGGUGACACAAACAUACCUGUGUAAACACACAUGAGGAAGGCACAGUGACACAAAUAACAAACAGGGAACACAGGUGUUUCAGUAGCUGAAGAUGCCUGGGUCCAGCAAUUUGGGAGAUGGCAUCAGUAGGCACCGUGUCCUGCCCUUUUGGGAUCCCUGUCCAUUUCUUCCCCCAGAUGUUCAGUAUUAUCACCAGCCAGCCUUAAGUCGUUUCUGGCUUUUCCUGUGUGGUGGUGGUGAGAGAGAGGUCAAUUGGUGGAUGUGGAAAUUCACAGAAGACCCCAAAGUCAGCACAAAAGGGCCAAGGGACAGUGGAGAGAAACCCAUUCCAACUGGUGGUGCUUUCCAGGAAGAAGGGCGGGACUUAAGAGCCCAGGGGAAUCUUAAACUCAGUGAGCAGCAGGAGGCCUGGGAGUGGCCAACCUGGGAAAAGAUGAUUCUGACAAAGGUGCUUGAUUCACCCUGCCUCUAUCAGAAUCACCUAGGGCUCUCUCAUCUUGUAAUCACAGCUUCUUUGAGUAAUGCUUGGACACACGAAGUCCCCAAGCCUCCAGUCUCAGCUUGUCACUUGCUACCAGUAUGACCCGAAUCCAGGCUCCACAUCCAGCCUGCAUGAGCCUGAGCAUCCCCAUUUGGGAAAGGAGAGUGUCCCAGCCUCUGCAUGGCUGUCCCUUCAGAGCCCACCUUUGAUGCCCUCACAACCUGUGUUUCUGUCAGUAACCUCCCAUGGUAAGAUCUACCUCUCUGGGAAAUACUGCAGGAGGUCGACCCACAGGUCUUUGCUGAUUCUCUGCUGGCAACACGAACAAGAUCAGCAUGGGGCUCACGAGGACCCGAACGCUUCAUGAACAGUGAAGAACUCCAACACAACUCGCCAAUUCUGCAGAGGCCCAGAGCAACCCCAUCUCAGCUUUCCUGUUUGAUCCUCGGCUGUUGUGAUCCAACAACCAGUUGAGGAAGUUAAGGCUGCUGGUUUCCAGCCUGUGGCUUAGAGCUCCCCAUUUAUAAACCCAGAACCAGUGGACUGGCAUGCAGUGACACGGCAUAUAUCCUGGAGAAAGACAGGGGAGGCAGGGAAGGAUCGUGCAGGAGGAGCAUCCACUCCCUUCCCCACCCACCCACACCACCCUGGGAGGCAGGUUGUACCAGUGAUGUCAAGGUAGUACUCCUUAAUGAUCACUGUGUUCCUGAAGUAGGGUUUGCUUCGAAAAGAAACUUAGCAGCGUGCAGCGGGACCAGAGAUAGCUCAGUUCCUACACCUGCCAUGACCAGAAGGAGGGAAAAUGUGCCAGUUUCUAGGGUCUGCAGCUUGCCUGCGGUGCAGGCAUCAACAGCUUCUGCCUCUCCACUCAAGUGCUCUCACCGCAUCAGAUGAUCCCCCACUUCCCUGCCCAGCUCCCCUACCUGUCCUCAUUUUCCCUCACUGACCUUCAAAUCUAUCAUGUGGCUAAGCAAGUCUUCAUCUUGUUCACUGAUCAUGACGGAUAGUUGGUGAUUGUUCACAAUCCGCUGCAGGUCAAGGAGCCAGUCAUGCCACGUGCCAGGCCAGGUAGAGCCACAAGCAACAGGGCUGGUCUGGGAGGGAACAGGUGAGAGGGUAAGAGGCAGAAACCCUAGGGGCCUGCAAAUGGAAGAAAGGGUCAGACAUGUUAUAUCUUUCUCUUAAGCGGCAGGAGAAAACAAACUACAAGUGUCAGAAUUUUUUUCCCUUCUCUAUACAAAAUUAAAAGGAGGUUUUUUUUUUUAAAAUUCUGUGUUGCCAU
Cervus elaphus (red deer) is the source of this 3067-nucleotide long non-coding RNA. RefSeq lists it as uncharacterized. The record is from RefSeq and is a predicted model, not a curated record. NCBI's taxonomy places the organism in Eukaryota, Metazoa, Chordata, Mammalia, Artiodactyla, Cervidae. The transcript has 4 exons.